CAGUCGCCGCGGGAAUACAGAGGAUGCAAGCGUUAUCCGGAAUGAUUGGGCGUAAAGCGUCUGUAGGUGGCUUUUCAAGUCCGCCGUCAAAUCCCAGGGCUCAACCCUGGACAGGCGGUGGAAACUACCAAGCUGGAGUACGGUAGGGGCAGAGGGAAUUUCCGGUGGAGCGGUGAAAUGCGUUGAGGUCGGAAAGAACACCAACGGCGAGAGCACUCUGCUGGGCCGACACUGACACUGAGAGACGAAAGCUAGGGGAGCAAAUGGGAUUAGAUACCCCCGUAGUCCCUGUCUCUUAUAC
RNAcentral lists this ribosomal RNA (301 nucleotides) under uncultured bacterium. Its description in RNAcentral is "partial 16S ribosomal RNA". It matches the Rfam family "Bacterial small subunit ribosomal RNA", at positions 509 to 807 of the family's 1533-position model. The record is from RNAcentral.